Long non-coding RNA from Centropristis striata (black sea bass), 815 nucleotides. RefSeq lists it as uncharacterized. Lineage: Eukaryota; Metazoa; Chordata; Actinopteri; Perciformes; Serranidae. The record is from RefSeq and is a predicted model, not a curated record. The transcript is spliced from 3 exons.
UUUGCAUUGAGCCACUCGCGUCUGAUCUGUCUGUGCUGCAGGAGCCGACUGCCGCUGGGUCCGCUGCGGGGUUUUGGGGUUGAAAUCCGUCCAUACUGAACUGGCCAGGUGUCAAUGGAGAUGAUGAAAGUGAUUAGAUGAUUGUGAUGGCGAGCUACCCAAGAGCUUCGACUGAAAUAUUCACCAGCAAUUCCCCCAGUUCCCACUACUCCUGCCGGGCCGGGUAGGAGGCUCCAUUGGAGUCAGCCAGAACCUUGCACCCCACACUUCCACACACUAUUCCCCCCUCUGCUCCUUAACACACACACGCACACUCCUCUUCCGUUACUGGCAACGUGGAACUUUUUGUGAACUUUGGGACGGGGAUGCUGGGUCAUAAUUUAUGUAUUUAAUUGUUGAAUGAUGACAUGUGUUUUACAAAAUUCUGAUUGCAGCCUAUGGUGUCCAACAAUUGUGGGUUAAUCUUGCAUUGAUUUAUUUUUUUGUUCUUUAUCCAACCUCAGUAGUUGAGUUAUGUAUUUUACUUGAAAUACAAUUAUAUAAUUUCUGUGAAUUAUCUUUAUCCAACUUAAAUAGUUGAGUUAUUUAUUUUAUUUAAAUACAAUUAUAUAUUUUCUGUAAGUUAUUGUUACAGUAAUUUUCUGUUAUAUUUAUUUGUGUUUCUAAUAUAUGGUACCCUUUUUGCAACUCAAUUCUGGUCUCUGUGUGGUGUUUCCAGUCCUCCAUUUCCUUCCUGAGCCGAAUCUAUAUCUUCUGUUUAUCUAGCCUACUACUACUACUACUACUACUACUACUACUACUACUACUAUUAUUAU